This 497-nucleotide ribosomal RNA is filed under the name uncultured bacterium. Its description in RNAcentral is "partial 16S ribosomal RNA". It matches the Rfam family "Bacterial small subunit ribosomal RNA", at positions 28 to 507 of the family's 1533-position model. The record is from RNAcentral.
GAUGAACGCUGGCGGCGUGCCUAAUACAUGCAAGUCGAGCGAACGGACGAGAAGCUUGCUUCUCUGACGUUAGCGGCGGACGGGUGAGUAACACGUGGAUAACCUACCUAUAAGACUGGGAUAACUUCGGGAAACCGGAGCUAAUACCGGAUAAUAUUUUGAACCGCAUGGUUCAAUAGUGAAAGACGGUCUUGCUGUCACUUAUAGAUGGAUCCGCGCUGCAUUAGCUAGUUGGUAAGGUAACGGCUUACCAAGGCAACGAUGCGUAGCCGACCUGAGAGGGUGAUCGGCCACACUGGAACUGAGACACGGUCCAGACUCCUACGGGAGGCAGCAGUAGGGAAUCUUCCGCAAUGGGCGAAAGCCUGACGGAGCAACGCCGCGUGAGUGAUGAAGGUCUUCGGAUCGUAAAACUCUGUUAUUAGGGAAGAACAUAUGUGUAAGUAACUAUGCACAUCUUGACGGUACCUAAUCAGAAAGCCACGGCUAACUACGUG